GAUGAACGCUGGCGGCGUGCCUAAUACAUGCAAGUCGAGCGAACAGACGAGGAGCUUGCUCCUCUGACGUUAGCGGCGGACGGGUGAGUAACACGUGGAUAACCUACCUAUAAGACUGGGAUAACUUCGGGAAACCGGAGCUAAUACCGGAUAAUAUAUUGAACCGCAUGGUUCAAUAGUGAAAGACGGUUUUGCUGUCACUUAUAGAUGGAUCCGCGCCGCAUUAGCUAGUUGGUAAGGUAACGGCUUACCAAGGCAACGAUGCGUAGCCGACCUGAGAGGGUGAUCGGCCACACUGGAACUGAGACACGGUCCAGACUCCUACGGGAGGCAGCAGUGGGGAAUCUUCCGCAAAGGGCGAAAGCCUGACGGAGCAACGCCGCGUGAGUGAUGAAGGUCUUCGGAUCGUAAAACUAUGUUAUUGGGGAAGAACAAAUGUGUAGGUAACUAUGCACGUCUUGAGGGUACCUAAUCAGAAAGCCACGGCAAACUACGU
This 496-nucleotide ribosomal RNA is filed under the name uncultured bacterium. RNAcentral describes it as "partial 16S ribosomal RNA". It matches the Rfam family "Bacterial small subunit ribosomal RNA", at positions 28 to 506 of the family's 1533-position model. The record is from RNAcentral.